AGAGCAGGAGGCAGCUGCUGGGCCUGCGCUGAUGGAUCCAUCACAGGGAGAGUUCUAGGCUUUGGGCCUGAAUUCUGGACCCAGUCUACAUGCAGAACAUCCCACAAGAGCUUCCCAUUAAGAGGACUUAACCACCAGAUUGGGAACCAGGUAACCGAGAUCCCAAUUCUUGCACCUGCUGGUGGGAGGAGCCUGACCGCCUGUGAAGCAUCCUUCUUCUCUGCUCUCAGAGGCCCAGUUCUCCCAAAGCCCUGCUCCUCAUACAAGUCCCAGCCUCUGCCAGCCACAGAGCAACAGACAACCCUUCUGGGAAGCUUCCUCCCCACUUAACAUGCGUGGGGUGCAGCCUCUUGCCAUUUAAUGCAUGGACAACAAUCAGCAUACAGAUUGAACUGCUG
Molecule: long non-coding RNA, 398 nt
Filed under: Sus scrofa (pig)
Lineage: Eukaryota; Metazoa; Chordata; Mammalia; Artiodactyla; Suidae
Description: lncRNA (ENSSSCG00070022818.1)
Source: RNAcentral